Molecule: long non-coding RNA, 6494 nt
Organism: Bos taurus (domestic cattle)
Lineage: Eukaryota; Metazoa; Chordata; Mammalia; Artiodactyla; Bovidae
Source: Ensembl
UGGCGGGCACAGCAUGAAGGGUCACAAAGAGUUGGACGCGACUGAGUGCGUGUGUACCCCAUAACCUAGGUUUCAGAUUUUAUAGCUAAUUUGCAGCCCCUUUUAGUUUCCGAUGGUUACAAAAUUUUAAUAGUUAUGCUGGAUGUAGCAUGGAGGGGAACAAAAUUGGGUGCAGGCACCAGCUGUGAGGUGGUUGCAGUUCCCUAAGAGGUGACAGUGACUUGAGGACUUGUAUUUCUACCGAGGGUGAACAAUGCUGCAAGAAAACAUCACUGCCACCUUAACAAUGAGGAAUAGCCAGAUAAUCGACAAAAUCACAGCUUUUCUUGAGUCCUCAGAAAGCUGAGGUCACCAGGCAACUAAGUAAAGCCCCUUCAAGAGAGAGAGACACACACACAGGAACUGUUUCAACUUUAGCAGAGCACAGGAAACAGGGGUGGCUGUCAUACAAGCGGGUAAGAUGAAACCAACAAAAAUUUUAACAAAUGUUUAAAAGCUAGGGUGUCAUGGGCUAGCAUGUCAGUUUAGGGUAGCUGGAGACCAUUCCAGACACGGGGGGUGUUAUAUACUCAUAGGCACGCUUUAUUCUACUGACUCCCCCUGAGGUUCCUGAGAAAAAGUGAGAGCAGGGCAGGAAAUGAGAGAGCUUUCCUCUUUGGUGGUGCAAGCAUAUAUUGAUUAAGGCAGUGCUGGGGGAAGGCAAAAGGCCUCAGCUGCUCCCACAAUCCUUUUCUCCAAUAAGCAACAGCCUUAAGUUAGGGAGGGGCAACAGAGUUUUGCUUAAGUUGUUAUUGUUUUCAUUUAGUUGCUAAGUCAUGUCCAACUCUUUGCAACCCGUGGACUGUAGCCCACCAAGCUGCUCUGUCCAUGAGAUUUCCCAAGCAAGAAUACUGGAGUGGGUUGCCAUUUCCUUCUCCAGGGGAUCUUCCUAACCCAGGGAUCGAACCCACGUCUCCUGCAUUGGCAGGUGGAUUCUUUACCACUGAGCCACCAGGGAAGCCCUCAUCUACUUCUAGGUAAAGGGUAAAAAAACCUUCUUGUCCUUCUUUGACACUUGAAAACCCAUUGAUUUUUUGGGGGAAAACAGAAGCAAAAGACCUCUACUCCAAGGGGAGAAGCAGGGAACUAUCUCAGGCUGAAAAUUCAAGCCCAGGUCUGUUCUGUUAGGGGAAAGGGAAGAAAGAUUGACCCAAAACCAACCACAGGUAGGAGGUGGAGUUUGGGAGCAGGAGCAGAAAUACUGAGAAAGAUCCACUUCUGAAACUCACAUAGGACCUGCCCAAGACUGAAGCAGAAGCAGGAUGUCAGAGACCCUGCUCUAACCCCCGUGAGCCUAGCACCAAAGAGCAAGCUAUGGGAGUAUCCUCUGGGUCGAGGGGCUGGCAUGCUGGGAUGGCUGAAAAGGUGAGAGUGGAGCAGGAAUACAGAAAAAUACAGGAAUACAGAAAAACCCUCUGACACAUGGUCUCCACUCUAAGCAGCAUCACUAGAAGGAUGUGUCUGUGACACACUGAGAUAAUGACAGCAGCAACAAAAUCCAAACCCUGCCUGACUCCUAACUAGAUUAAUUCCAUCUUGCGCCCACCCCUCAGACCAACUUGCGGACAGAAGAGGCGUGACCAUUUCCGGGCAGAAAUACCGUUUACCUCAGUCUCUGCUGUUCUACAAAGGAUAGGCACUCAAUAAGAAUUUACAAAACAUACAAAAAGUCAACAAAGAAAAAAAUCCAAUCCAUUGUCAAAAGAUACAUCAACAGAGCUAGACUGGCAAAUGACACAGAUACUGAAACCAUCAGACAGGAACUUUAAAAAUAGAAACAACUUAGUAUGUUAAACAGCCUGUUGGAAAAAAAAGUUGGCAGCUUACAUGAACAAAGGGGUAAUUUUGGCACAAACACAGAAACUGUAAGAAAGCCAAGUGGAGGGAUUUCCCUGGCUGACUCCAUGCUCCCAAUGCAGGGGGCCCGGGUUCAAUUUCUGGUCAGGGAACUAGAUCCCACAUGCUGCAACUGAAGAUUCUGCUGCCACAGUGAAGAUCGAAGAUUCUGUGUGCUGCAACUAAGACCCGGCACAGCCAAAGAAAUAAAAAGAAAGCGGAAAGGAAAGGCUAGAAAUAAAACACAUGUGAUAUCAAAGAUAAAUUCCUUCAAUGGGCUUGUCAAUAGGUAGCACAGCUGAGGAAAGAAUCCAUGAAUUUGAGAAAGGAACUAACAGAAGCUAGACUCAAACUAGAUUAAGCUAUAAAGGGACACUGACGGGGAAAAACAGAAGUGGAGCUGGCCUCAAGGCCAGCUAGAUCUAAGGACUCAAACAGUAUCUUCAGUCUUUUUUUCACUAUAAACUUUGAUGUGUGUGUUGGUGUGGCACAGAGAGUUCUGCACAUCAUCCCAGUUUAGCAAAUCCAAAGGUAGAGCUCUCCCUUCUAGCUCUAUAUAAUAAAUCUCAGGGAAGGAAUCUGAUUGGCCUGGCUUGGGUCACAUGCUUAUUGAAACAAUUACUGUGACCAGGGAAAGGAUACUCAUUUCUUGUCUGAGCCUAGGUCCAACCCCAGGGUAAUAGGUACAGAGUUUGGGGGUUGGCAAUUAGACCAGACCCAUUUGAGAAUGGCAAGUGGGGGAAGAGUUGCUGUUACCUGAAAAAAAGAGCAAGAGGGGCUUCCCUGGUGAUCCAGGGGUUAAAAAAUCUGCCCACCAAUGCAGGGCACAUGAGUGCAAUCCAGGAAGAUCCGGUCUUGGUCCGGGGAGAUCCCACAUGCUGCAGAGCAACUAAGCUUAUGCGCCACAAUUAACAAGCCAGUGCUCUAGAGCCACAGCUUCUGAAGCGUGCAUGCCUAGAGCCUGUUCUCUGCAACAAGAGAAGCCACCACAAUGAGAAGGCCACUCACAGCAAUGAACAGUAGCCCCUGCUCCUGCAACUAGAGAAGGCCCCCACACAUCAACAAAGACCCAGCACAGCCAAAAAUAAACACAUAAAUCUUAAAAAAAAAAAAAAAGCAAAAGGGAUGCAGAGAAGCCAAAAGCACAGACAUUCAGUGCCUUCGGUUCAGUUGAGUCAACAGUGUUGGUGGUGGUUUAGUCGCUAAGUCAUGUCUGACUCUUGCGACCCCAUGGACUGUAGCCCACCAGGCUCCUCUGUCCAUGAGAUUUUCCAGGCAAGAAUACUGGAGUGGAUUGCCGCUUCCUUCUCCAGGGGAUCUUCCCAAGCCAGGAAUUGAACUCAGGUCUUCAGCACUGCAGGAAGAUUCUUUACCAACUGAGCUAUGAGGGAAGCCCACUUGUGUACCUGCCAAAAAAUUAUAAUUCUAGAAAUCAAUAGUGGAAAUGUACUUAGGGCCAUAGUAGUGAAAAAUACAUUCUGUACUGGUCGUACUGCUCCAAAGCAUCAUUGGGGCACCACACUGAAAGAGGAAUGUUAGCAAAUCACAGUGCUCCCUGGAGGAGGGGUCCAGGAUGAGGAGGCUCAGAAGAUUGAGUCAUUUGAAGAACCAGGGCAAUAAGAGUUUUUGGCCUAGAGAAGAGAAGAUGUAGUAGCCAUGGUUGGCCUUAGAAUAUCCAGAGCAGCCUUGGAUAGAAAGAUGAGACAUCGAAGUAUAGAGGACAACUAGGUCCAGUGUGGAGAAGUCUCAAGGAGGCCAAUGACCAUUUAACAUAAAAACUUUCUAACAGCUAUCCAAGAAUGGACAAUGCUUACUUAUGAAGGUAGUGAGUUCCCUGUCACUAGAGGUGUUUAAGCAAGUGUCAGAGAGGUUGUAAAGGGAAUUCCCAAAUUGCUGGAAAAUUGGAUCAGGUAACCCCCCUGAGGUUCCUUCCCAGUUACAACAGUUCAUGGCUGUCUGUUGGAGAUCUAUGUAAGCUUGCUGCUAACAAGUCUGCCCUGGCCUUCCCAACAUCUGGGAGGUAGAGCUGGUGAGUGCUUUUCCUUCCCUAGAUGAUAAUGACCCCUUCCAACAAAUACCUGAUCACCUACCAACCAGCAGUCAGGAACAGAGCCUUCCAACACUUUUUUUUAAAAAAUUAAUAUUUAUUUAUUUGGCUGCACAGGGUCUUAGUUGUGGCACUCUGGAUUUUUGAAGUUGCAAUAUGCAAAUUCUCAGUUGCAGCAUGCGAGGAUCUAGUUCCCUGACCAGGGAUCAAACCCAGGUCCCCCAGCAUUGGGAGUCUUAGCCACUGGGCCACCAGGGAAGUCCCUUUCCAACACUUCUUAUCUUAGCUCAGCCCUAAGGGAACUGACUUUGACUCUGGCUCUGAAGGUCACAGAAAGACAGCACUCAUGCUAUUUAUGCUCUCUGAAUACAUAUCAUGAGACAAGGACUUGGAUGUAGGCAUUAUUUUAGGGGCUGAGUAGGAGUGAGGGAGCAAUGAGACGGGGAAAUUGAAUUGAGGGGACCACUCUGGGUACUUACAGCUCAGUCCUCCUGGGACCACUCUGAGGAACCAUACAGAUCACUGAUCAGAAUUCCUCCCGAGUGAUAAAGUAAUUCCACUAGUGCCUUCCCUUGUUGAUUGAGGUUUGCCCUUGGGAGAGUUAAGCUCCUGAGACUCCCAGGCUGCCUGGCAGGGGCUGAGGAGAGCCUCUGACAGAAGAGAGGCUGUGUCAGAACCAUCCACUGCAGCUGCAGCUGGACACAAAAGUGGGCUGGAAGGACAUGGGCACUAACAACAACAUCUGCUACAGCCCCUUUCCCACCCAGGCCCAGACCUAUCUUCCAGGGCAGCGUGGGACCUUUGAUUUGCACAUUCCAGCCUCCGUGGUGCACAUUCCAGUGUAGAACCUUUGACGGCACAUUGCCGGUUGGCUAGUUCAGCACAGCCCUGUCUGAGUGUCCACCCACAGCUCUACUGGGCUCCAGUCUCCCUUCUGGGCCUGACUCCCUCUCUGGGCUCUCUGGGCUGGGGGCACCGGGCUGGGCCCUCUAAGCUGGCACCUGCUCUCUUCUCCAUCCACAUGUGAGCUGGAAACAGUGACAUCAGGGACAUUGGCUCCAUCGUCCUACACUGUGUUCAAGGCCAGGGAAGGCUGAAGGCUGGAUGGGCUCUGAGUUUCCUCUCACUAUAUCUUAAAAAGAAAAGGCUAAGCACAACCAAGAACUCAAAGGCCCCAAGAAACCUCACUCAAGGCCAUAGAGACACUUCAAAGAUGGGAAAUCAGAGCACUAACAUUGGAGGCAGGGUUCCUGGCCAGACCCAGAGGACCAAUCCAAGUUGGCUCACCACUCCUCUAACUUCUCUGGCCUGCUUUGGUCAGAGCUGAACACCUCUCUCUCUUCCUCCCUUGGUUCCUCUUAUCUUCUUACUCCCACACUCCUGUCUGGUACUCAGCUCUUCUCUCCUCUUCCAUGUUAAUUACCUUCCAGGGCUGCUUCAUCAUCUCUGAUGUUCACAUCCACAAGUCUUUAAUUUUCGCUCUUUUCUUUUCAUCCCUGCUCAGUGUUCUGAUGUCCAUUUUACCACCUUGGAGAGACUCCACCUGAGCCCUUGGAGAGGAUGAGACAAAGAGAAAUAUUGGAUCCGAGCCCCGCAUAUAACAAGUGAAAUGGAAUAAAGAACUAUGGAGCGCCUGAACACUGAACAAAAAAGGGAAGCUUGAAGGAAGGAGGAGAGGUUGGGUGGACCCUGGAAAUUAUAAACCCAUAGACCUAGGUCUGUUACAUGGGAAAACUUUACAAAUAUUAACUUGUAAACACCCUAGAAAAUCAAAUGAGAUAAUAUACAUGAAAGCACUUUAAAAAAAUAAAACUUUAAAGGGCUAUAGAAGUAUAAGGUGUUAUUAUGAAAUAUUUCUGCUCAGGCAGACUGUAAACCAGAUGCUUGGGGAGGCUGGAGAUUUAUGAUAAUGGCUCAUCACCCACAAGGUACUCACACAUCUUAGGCUGUUUCAUUUAAUUAGUCGUUGCCUCUCAGAGACUACUGCAGAAGCCUUCUAAGUGGCUUCCCACUCCACCUUCUUGCUUGUUCUGUUCAUCUUAUAACUCACUGCUGGGUUAAUUUUCCUGAUGCAAAGCUCUAAUCCAGCAUUUGCUAUGCUUCCUCUGGCUGACAGUAUAGGGCCUGGAGACUUUGGCUUAGCAGCCAGGAUCCUCCAUAAUCUGGUUCUACCCAACUUUUCCAGCCUGAUUUCCCUCCUUCCAGCCUGGCAGAUGCAGGCUCAGGUCAUUUACCCAAGACUACUCAAGACUUCUAACACCAGACACCUGACUCCCAAACCAACGCUCUUUCUUAGCCCGUAACUUCUUCACUUUGAUGAAUAGAACUGCAAUGACGAGCUUUCUACGCUGAGCUUUUUCUCUUCUUUUGAAAAAUUUUCUCAGGACAAAUUCCCAGGAGUGGGAUUACCAGGUCAAAAAACAUUAAUAUUUUUAUGGCUGCAUGAAUUGACGUACACUUUGUAAAAGGGUUGAGCUGAUUUAUAUUUUAGCCAGUGAUAUAAAUAUAUACAGAUUCUACCAGACCCUUCUUUCCACUGGGGUAAACCUUUGAAUAAAUUGCUUAUUGAAUA